UUGUCCGGAUUUACUGGGUGUAAAGGGUGCGUAGGCGGCUUUGCAAGUCAGAUGUGAAAUCUAUGGGCUCAACCCAUAAACUGCAUUUGAAACUGUAGAGCUUGAGUGAAGUAGAGGCGGGCGGAAUUCCCCGUGUAGCGGUGAAAUGCGUAGAGAUGGGGAGGAACACCAGUGGCGAAGGCGGCCUGCUGGGCUUUAACUGACGCUGAGGCACGAAAGCGUGGGUAGCAAACAGGGUUAGAUACCCUGGUAGUCCACGCUGUAAACGAUGAUUACUAGGUGUGGGGGGUCUGACCCCUUCCGUGCCGGAGUUAACACAAUAAGUAAUCCACCUGGGGAGUACGGCCGCAAGGUUGAAACUCAAAGGAAUUGACGGGGGCCCGCACAAGCGGUGGAGUAUGUGGUUUAAUUC
RNAcentral lists this ribosomal RNA (412 nucleotides) under uncultured bacterium. Its description in RNAcentral is "bacterial SSU rRNA". It matches the Rfam family "Bacterial small subunit ribosomal RNA", at positions 541 to 952 of the family's 1533-position model. The record is from RNAcentral.